RNAcentral lists this ribosomal RNA (396 nucleotides) under uncultured bacterium. Its description in RNAcentral is "bacterial SSU rRNA". It matches the Rfam family "Bacterial small subunit ribosomal RNA", at positions 29 to 429 of the family's 1533-position model. The record is from RNAcentral.
AUUGAACGCUGGCGGCAUGCCUUACACAUGCAAGUCGAGCGGCAGCGCGGGGGCAACCCUGGCGGCGAGCGGCGAACGGGUGAGUAAUACAUCGGAACGUGUCCAGUAGCGGGGGAUAACCUGUCGAAAGAUAGGCUAAUACCGCAUACGACCUACGGGUGAAAGCGGGGGACCGCAAGGCCUCGCACUAUUGGAGCGGCCGAUGUCGGAUUAGCUAGUUGGCGGGGUAACGGCCCACCAAGGCGACGAUCCGUAGCUGGUCUGAGAGGACGACCAGCCACACUGGAACUGAGACACGGUCCAGACUCCUACGGGAGGCAGCAGUGGGGAAUUUUGGACAAUGGGCGCAAGCCUGAUCCAGCCAUGCCGCGUGAGUGAAGAAGGCCUGGUUGUAAG